Molecule: ribosomal RNA, 484 nt
Filed under: uncultured bacterium
Lineage: Bacteria
Description: partial 16S ribosomal RNA
Rfam family: Bacterial small subunit ribosomal RNA
Source: RNAcentral
AUUGAACGCUGGCGGCAUGCUUUACACAUGCAAGUCGAACGGCAGCGCGGGCUUCGGCCUGGCGGCGAGUGGCGAACGGGUGAGUAAUGCAUCGGAACGUGCCCAGUAGUGGGGGAUAGCCCGGCGAAGGCCGGAUUAAUACCGCAUACGACCUGAGGGUGAAAGCGGGGGACCGAAAGGCCUCGCGCUAUUGGAGCGGCCGAUGUCGGAUUAGCUAGUUGGUGGGGUAAAGGCUUACCAAGGCGACGAUCCGUAGCUGGGCUGAGAGGACGACCAGCCACACUGGGACUGAGACACGGCCCAGACUCCUACGGGAGGCAGCAGUGGGGAAUUUUGGACAAUGGGGGCAACCCUGAUCCAGCCAUGCCGCGUGCGGGAAGAAGGCCUUCGGGUUGUAAACCGCUUUUGUUCGGGAAGAAAUCCUCUGGGCUAAUACCCCGGGGGGAUGACGGUACCGGAAGAAUAAGCACCGGCUAACUACGUG